RNAcentral lists this ribosomal RNA (426 nucleotides) under uncultured bacterium. RNAcentral's name for it is "bacterial SSU rRNA". It matches the Rfam family "Bacterial small subunit ribosomal RNA", at positions 355 to 771 of the family's 1533-position model. The record is from RNAcentral.
UGGGGAAUAUUGCACAAUGGGGGGAAACCCUGAUGCAGCAAUGCCGCGUGUGUGAAGAAGGCCUGCGGGUUGUAAAGCACUUUUAUCAGGAAAGAACCUGCCUGGGACUAAUAAGCCCAGGCACUGACGGUACCUGAGGAAUAAGCACCGGCUAACUCCGUGCCAGCAGCCGCGGUAAUACGGAGGGUGCAAGCGUUAAUCGGAAUUACUGGGCGUAAAGCGAGUGUAGGCGGCUACGUAAGUCGGUUGUGAAAGCCCCGGGCUUAACCUGGGAAUUGCGAUCGAUACUGCGUAGCUAGAGUCUGAUAGAGGGAAGUGGAAUUCCAGGUGUAGCGGUGAAAUGCGUAGAUAUCUGGAGGAACAUCAGUGGCGAAGGCGGCUUCCUGGAUCAAGACUGACGCUCAGGCUCGAAAGCGUGGGUAGCAA